This is a long non-coding RNA of Phyllostomus hastatus (greater spear-nosed bat), 790 nucleotides long. RefSeq lists it as uncharacterized. Lineage: Eukaryota; Metazoa; Chordata; Mammalia; Chiroptera; Phyllostomidae. The record is from RefSeq and is a predicted model, not a curated record. The transcript has 5 exons.
UCUAGUCCUGAAGAAGGGUUCCGGUUCCAGAGACGGAGCUUUGCUCCGCUCCAGGAGGCACGUUCGCCUCUGAGCUCUGCGAAUGGCACCCGCUGGAGGCCCGCGGCGUGCAGCCUCUAGACCAUCGAGAAAGAAUUAGCAUGAAGAACAGCCAGUCACAUGGGAAGCCUGGAGUGUCCUCCUGAGCCAGCUGUGUUCCUCCUCAAGGCAGUGACGACUGACCUUCCUGUUUCUAAUUUACAUCUGAAUCUCACUGUGGAAUUUCUAGAAAGAAACGGCAUUCGGGGAAAUACCUUUUGCAAAAGGCCGGUUCAUCUUCAGUGGUCUUCAAACCCUACCUUCAAAAGGAAGUUCAGAGCCAUUGGUGAGAAGAGAAUAGAAACUUGAAAGGAGAGACUCCUGAGCAUCACUGAUAGAGUGAGAAUACCACGGAGAAUUCACUACUACUACAUCUUCUACAAGUUUGCCAAAGGUGUGAGUGAAUCCUGGCCCAAGAACUUCUUCACGAUGCUAUUGAGAAUUAAAUGCCAUGACGUGUAUACACUAGCCCUUCAUAGAAGGGAGAAUGAGACCAUGUGUGUCUAGCAGCUACCAGGGCCUGCAGCAGAUGGCGUGGGCUCCAAAGGACUGAGCUUUAAUAUGAAACAGAAACUCUGGACCUUGGCUUUUAGGUUUUGGCCUCACUGAGGACGUGGUUGGACUUUUUCCAUGGAAGGGUGGCAGGAGAUAGGAUCUUGGAAACCCAGGGGAAGAUUUCCACAUCAAUAAACCAUCUUACCACACUACUGUA